AUGGCGGGAAAUAACAGUGUGGCCGGUGUGGCGCCAAGUGGCAGCAGUCGGGCAGUUCGCGCGCAGAAUGUGCGGUAUCAGCUGAGCGAUUGCUGUGUGCUUUUAUGCUUCUACUUACGGUGCUCAACUCCUUAAGAAGUGCCUCUCUUCACGUUUGUCAGAAAAUAUAGGCUUUCGUCAUCUUCCAGGAGGAAGCGUGUUUAUAGUAAGCACGACACACUUAUAAGGGAUUUCCCGUCGUUGCUGUUCUCCGUGUACGCUGUCAAGUGACGAUCGCAGUCUGCCGGCAUGCCUUCCACCCAGUCCGUUCUUCAGCUUCCCGUGCGAAAAUCUGCACGCUGUGCCGCGAAGGCUAAACAAAGCAGUAAGUCGCCUAGCAACUCUUAUAAAGCCCUUCUCGACGAGAACAGUGCGCGCCAGAUUCACCGAGUUAGCAAGAGGCUCUUCUCCGGUGAUGUAUCUACUCCUUCGUCCGAUAUUAACGGGUCACAUCAUUCCCCUACAUCGCAAUCACCGAAAAAAGCCAAGGAAAUAUCCAGCCAUGAAAAUAUAAUUUCCCUCUGUCUGUCCACGCCCGACACGUCGUUGUACCAGAAGGCAAAGCAGAAUUUAACGUCACAGUCAAGCGUCCGCGUUGUCGGUCGUCAAAGGGAGAUGGAGGCAAUGAAAGACUUUCUGCACUCUAAUUUGCGUGCUGGCACCUCCGGUAGUCUGUAUGUUUCUGGCGCACCCGGCACCGGCAAAACUGCUUGUUUGUCACAAAUACUCGAGUCAUCCAAGGAUCUCUUCAAAUUCCAGUAUGUGUUUGUCAACUGCAUGACACUACAAAGCAGCUCUGCUAUUUACCAGAAAAUUAUUACUGGUCUUGGCUUGUUGCCUACAUGUAGCAAUCGCCUUGAGACGAUACGUAGAGGACUCACUACCAAGGGCCAUCCUAUGAUAGUUGUGAUGGAUGAAAUUGACCAACUCGACAGCAAGAACCAAACAGUGCUGUACUCGCUUUUCGAGCUUCCUCAAUUGAAGAAUUCUUGUGCCAUAAUUUUUGGAAUUGCCAAUGCCUUGGAUCUCACAGAUCGUGUCCUGCCACACCUGCAAGCCUAUGGCUGUCGACCAACAUUGCUUCAUUUCGCACCCUAUUCUAGAGAUGAAAUAGUAGCCAUACUCACAGAUCGGCUUAGUGAGUGUCAUGCAGUAAUCCAGCCUCAAGCCAUUCAGUUCUGUGCACGAAAAAUUGCUGCUUGCACAGGAGAUGUCCGGAAGGCACUGGAUAUAUGCAGGCGAGCUGUUGAAGUUGUAGAACGUUCCACCAAGACUCAGCAGGUGCUAGUUCCACGGCCUGAGCAUGGUUAUAAUCUGGGCUCUCCCAAGAAGGCAUCCCUCAAGGUUGUCAACAUGGCCCACAUCUCUUCUGUAUUGGCAGAUGUGUUUGGAUCCUCAGCAAUGGGCAGCAAGGAUCUUAAUGUCACCUUGCCAUUGCAGCAGAAGCUAUUGCUAUGCACAUUGGUGGCACUGCUUAAAGUCAAGAAGUUGCGACAUGUGCCUCUUGGAAAGCUUCAAGAAGCUUACAUGCGCAUCUGCCAGAGGCACCAAUGCUCCACCGACCAGUCGGACUUCCAAUCCCUCAGCACCCUGCUAGAGUCUAGGGGCCUAAUCACUGUCAAAAGGCAUAAGGAGCUCCGACUGAGUAAGAGUACGUCAUUCGCCUAAGUGGUGCAUCAGGGGGCAGCACCACAAGGGCACUUGGCGUUCACCCACAUCAUGUGCAACGAGCAUGUGGCACCACCACCUACCCCUACGGUUAGCCUCAGGGUGGACGAGAAAGAAGUCGAGUACGUCCUUCAAGACAAAGCUCUUCUAGCAGCAUGCCUCAAUGACAGUGCCAUGCUGUGAAGUUUAGUGAAGAUUGUUGUGUAACUGUCAUCAGAACUUUUGUGUGAUUGUUUCAAUUGUUUUCAACCCUGCAAGUUCUGUGUGUUGAUGUGUUUGCACAUUUGCUUUAUAUCAUAGCACAUGUUAAAAGUGGCAGCUGAAAUUAUUUUGUUAGUCAUCAAUCACUGUUCUCUCGAUGUCAUACACAAUAUUCUUUCUUCAAAUACCGUCAAUCAUAGUCUUAUGUGCACUCAUAUUCAUGUGUCAAUCGAAGUCAAUAAACUUUCACUCACCUACA
Dermacentor albipictus is the source of this 2167-nucleotide RNA transcript. It is a transcript of the gene named Cell division cycle 6, with no coding region annotated. The record is from RefSeq and is a predicted model, not a curated record. NCBI's taxonomy places the organism in Eukaryota, Metazoa, Arthropoda, Arachnida, Ixodida, Ixodidae.